UACAGAGGUCCCAAGCGUUGUCCGGAAUCAUUGGGCGUAAAGCGCGUGUAGGCGGCUCGGUAAGUCUGCUGUGAAAGUCCAGGGCUCAACCCUGGGAUGCCGGUGGAUACUGUCGAGCUCGAGUCCGGAAGAGGCGAGUGGAAUUCCUGGUGUAGCGGUGAAAUGCGCAGAUAUCAGGAGGAACACCAAUGGCGAAGGCAGCUCGCUGGGACGUGACUGACGCUGAGACGCGAAAGCGUGGGGAGCAAACAGG
RNAcentral lists this ribosomal RNA (253 nucleotides) under uncultured bacterium. RNAcentral describes it as "partial 16S ribosomal RNA". It matches the Rfam family "Bacterial small subunit ribosomal RNA", at positions 524 to 776 of the family's 1533-position model. The record is from RNAcentral.